RNAcentral lists this unclassified non-coding RNA (213 nucleotides) under plant metagenome. RNAcentral describes it as "partial contains small subunit ribosomal RNA, internal transcribed spacer 1, and 5.8S ribosomal RNA". The stretch from base 1 to 54 matches the Rfam family "Eukaryotic small subunit ribosomal RNA", at positions 1778 to 1831 of the family's 1831-position model. The record is from RNAcentral.
GGAAGUAAAAGCCGUAACAAGGUUUCCGUAGGUGAACCUGCGGAAGGAUCAUUAACGAGUAAAGUCCUUCGGGACUUUCUUAUCCAACACCUGUGUAAAUUAAUUUUUGCUUUGGGAAUUUAAUUAUUCCCAACAAUCAAAACCACUAAGUUGUCUUUUGUCUGAAUGAUUAUUUAAAAAUCAAAACUUUCAACAACGGAUCUCUUGGUUCUC